UGUGCCUUCCAAGGACAGAGCGUUGCUAACCUCAAGCAAAUCUGUGCUGGGCUGGGGCUCAGUUUCCCUAUCUGUUAGAUGAGGUGUAGGUCAAGACCAGCAGGUUGCAAACUUCUGACUGUGAGCCACAACAAACACACUUGAUGUCAUAACCCAGGACACAUGACCACGUGCAACUGAACAGAACAACAUGCACGCUACUGCUUGUACCCUAUGUACCCUAACAACAUGUACCCUAUGCUGUCUGGUUCCUUCCAUUUAAAAAUGUGAAACUGACUGAAUGACCACUGACUACAGGAUCCACCCAGUCGUUGGUUCUGGCCCUGUCUUUCUAAGCAAUGUAUGGCCAAUAUUUGAGGUUGUUAUUAAGACUCAAAUAUUUCUCAAAACAGAAGAAUUUGAAGGCAAGAGUUUGAAAAGCAAACUCUUACCAUUUGAUGGAUGACCCAGCAGAGGCCAGCACCCAUGAGGCAGGGCUGAGGAGGUGGGUUCCCCAGCCAAUGAAUGUGUCCUCCCCAGACAGUGGCCUGCCCUGGGCCCCCGCUCAUUACCUUUUCAAGUGUUCCAGCAGGAAGAGGAAGGUGAUGAGGUUGGGGUCGGGCAGGGUGCGGAGCAGGUGCAUCAUGCAGUUUUCCUUGGCAGCAGGGUCUGACAGGGCUGUGGGGAGAGCGGAGCUAGGGUGGGGCUCAGCUCCCGGGUGGGGAGGCCUGAGCAGACCCUGUGGGGGAAUGAAGGGCCUAGUAUCUUCCCGGGGGUGGGCUAUGAACAGCUGAUUCCUGUGGAAGCCCCCACCUGUGACCUGUAACUCAGUCAGGAGGCCGGCUGGGGGGAGCAGGCAACUUUGGACCCCUCCUGCAUGGGCCUUCAUGGCUCUUGCCCUUUCCCGUCCCUGGUCUAGGAGGCUAAGUUUUAGGCAACGAGAACACUGCUUUGAACAUUUCCUCUCUUUCAGCUGCCUGUGAUGCUGGAGCAGGCAUUUAGCAGCCUUCCGUGGGGUUCCUCACUUCUUGUGGUGGCUGAAGCCCUGAUCUGCCCGAGGAGGAGGCAGGGGAGAGGCAGGGGAGAGGCAGGAGGGAAUGUGCCCAGGCCUGGAUUCAGCCCAGGAUGCUGGCCCUGACCACCCACCUCAGGGCACAUUUCCCUGGACACCAGGCUUUCCAAGCAAGGAGCCCACUAUGCACCGGGGAGCUAGCAAGAAAGCCAGGAACACAGGAGUAAGGAAGAGCUGAGGAGAAAGGAGGCUCAAAACCUAUAAGCUGGGUGACUUGGCCUCUCGGAGUCUCAGUUCCUCAUCUGCAGCAAUCGAUAAGGGACUGGAGGGGAGGCGAUGUCACAAGAAAAUACAGGCAGAGUCCUCGCAUCAGAGACUCCGAGAUGGCCCACCGCGUGGCACACUGAACUGUAGUUCACAGGACAAGGCUCCUUGGCCAUCGGCUACUUGGGGCCUCUCUGUGGACAAGGCCUCUGGUUCUCCUGCGCUCCCGGAGUGCCCUCUCCCCACCAGUGCCCAGGCAGGGCCUCCCACACUCACUGGCAUCAAAGACAGCCUUCAGCGCCUGGAUGUCCGUGGCCACCCCUGAUAUCCGGUAGAUGCCGACCUCCUCGAUACCCCUCUUCUCCACCUCCUCCACACACUGCCGCACGAUGUAGGGCACCUUGGAGCGCUCCCGCCUGUUGGGAGGGGCUGUGAGGGGUGGUGGAGGGCGUCCCCUCCCCUCCAUGGAGACCUCACAGCUCCCUCUCUGCAUCCCUGGAUGGCUCCUGCUUCCUCCAGGGUUGGGGCCUC
Long non-coding RNA from Canis lupus familiaris (dog), 1786 nucleotides. RefSeq lists it as uncharacterized. The transcript has 3 exons. NCBI's taxonomy places the organism in Eukaryota, Metazoa, Chordata, Mammalia, Carnivora, Canidae. The record is from RefSeq and is a predicted model, not a curated record.